Molecule: long non-coding RNA, 283 nt
Organism: Mytilus trossulus (common blue mussel)
Lineage: Eukaryota; Metazoa; Mollusca; Bivalvia; Mytilida; Mytilidae
Exons: 3
Source: RefSeq, a predicted model, not a curated record
AUGAGUUUUUAACCCAUAACAAAAAUGGUGGAAUUACUCAGAAAGAAUACAACACAUUAUGGCCGGAAAUUACCCACUGGUUGUUACAGCUCGACCCAUCGUUAAAAGAUGACCUGAUAAGAUUAGAAAAUAGACCAUUAGAUGAGAGUCUAUACACUAAGUACAGCACAGAGCUUUUUGAUAUUCAUUCAAAGUUGGAAGAGAUACAUUCUGAAUUCAACGAGAUAAAGGACUUUACAAUAAAAGGCAGAGACGAUUCGAGAAAAAUGUUGGAGAGAAUGGA